ACUAAAAUUAAAAAGCUUCGAGAAAAUAAGAGAAUACAUCUCAGACUGGUUCCAUUACCAACAGAUAUUUGAAAAAUUUAAAUCUGAUAAACAAAAGGGGUUCUCUACAGAAACUUCUCGAUUUGAAUCUGAUCUUGUAAAUUCUAAAAGAAAAACUCUUUCCAAAACUUACCAACACCUCCUUGACUGGAAAGUCAAAGAGGAGGAGGUAACAGCGGCCAUGGUGAGGUGGUCACAAGAUUUUGGCCAUUCAAUAAUUAUGUCCCAAUGGGAAAAUCUGUGGAAGAACAAUUGGAAAUUCAAAAAUUGUUAUACUAUUAGAGAGAACUUUCUAAAAAUGCAACACCGAUGGUACUUAACACCUGGAAACUUUCAAAAAUGUAUAAAAAUGUGCCAAGUAAUUGCUGGAGAUGCGGUGAUAAUUCAGGAACUUUCUACCACAUGUGGUGGUUAUGUAAGAAAAUACUGAUAUUCUGGGAGAGUAUUCACUCAGAACUGCCAAAAAUUCUAAGGAUCUCUUUUAUUUAAAAACAACAACAGAGGGCUAUCUCCUGGGAGUUACAAAUUUGGAUAUUCCGCAAAAAAAUGAAGGGUAUCUUUUUAUACGCUACGGCGGCAGCAAGAGUUCUCAUCGCGGCAAAAUGGAAGAGUAUUGAAAUUCCCUCUAUACAUGAAUGGAUUCAAAAGCUGACAGAAUAUGCUGAAUUAGAUGGU
Non-coding RNA from Podarcis lilfordi (Lilford's wall lizard), 714 nucleotides. Lineage: Eukaryota; Metazoa; Chordata; Lepidosauria; Squamata; Lacertidae. The record is from the annotation of a GenBank genome assembly.